RNAcentral lists this ribosomal RNA (253 nucleotides) under uncultured bacterium. Its description in RNAcentral is "partial 16S ribosomal RNA". It matches the Rfam family "Bacterial small subunit ribosomal RNA", at positions 524 to 776 of the family's 1533-position model. The record is from RNAcentral.
UACGUAGGGUGCGAGCGUUGCCCGGAUUUAUUGGGCGUAAAGGGCGCGUAGGCGGCUCGGCACGUCCGUUGUGAAAUCGCCCGGCUCAACUGGGCGGGGUCAGCGGAUACGGUCGAGCUUGAGCAAGCUAGGGGGCAAUGGAAUUCCCGGUGUAGUGGUGGAAUGCGUAGAUAUCGGGAGGAACACCGGUGGCGAAGGCGGAUCUCUGGGCCUUGCCUGACGCUGAGGCGCGAAAGCUAGGGGAGCGAACAGG